This 255-nucleotide long non-coding RNA is filed under the name Mytilus galloprovincialis (Mediterranean mussel). Lineage: Eukaryota; Metazoa; Mollusca; Bivalvia; Mytilida; Mytilidae. The record is from RNAcentral.
CUUAGGCAGCAACCAUUUGAUUUUCUGGGGGGGGCUAUGGUUUUUUUUUCUGUACAAACUUUUUUUUUCGCCUGCGGCGAAAAACAAUCUAUUUUUUUCGCGACAAGUCGAAAACAAUUUUUUUCUUUCAAUUUUAUCAUUACAUAUAGUGGCAGCUGAGAGUGAAACAAACAAUUUUUUUUUCUCAGAAUCAAAAACAAAUUAUUUUUUUUCUCCAAAAACUGGAAACAAACUUUUUUUUCCAAAAAAAACCAU